This 324-nucleotide ribosomal RNA is filed under the name uncultured eukaryote. RNAcentral's name for it is "partial 18S ribosomal RNA". It matches the Rfam family "Eukaryotic small subunit ribosomal RNA", at positions 1470 to 1796 of the family's 1831-position model. The record is from RNAcentral.
CCCUUAGAUGUUCUGGGCUGCACGCGCGCUACACUGGUCGAUGCAACGAGUUUCUUUCCUUGGCCGACAGGCCUGGGCAAUCUUUGAACAUCGAUCGUGAUCGGGAUAGAUUCUUGUAAUUUUUGAUCUUAAACGAGGAAUUCCUAGUAAACGCAAGUCAUCAGCUUGCAUUGAUUACGUCCCUGCCCUUUGUACACACCGCCCGUCGCACCUACCGAUUGAAUGGUCCGGUGAAAUCUCCGGACUGGCGUGAGUCGGAGCAAUCUGACAAACGCCGGAAAGUUGAUUAAACCUUACCAUUUAGAGGAAGGUGAAGUCGUAACA